This 361-nucleotide long non-coding RNA is filed under the name Androctonus crassicauda. The record is from RNAcentral. Lineage: Eukaryota; Metazoa; Arthropoda; Arachnida; Scorpiones; Buthidae.
AGAAAACAAAACCAUUCCUUACUUUUUUGUUUAUAAUUAAUAAACUAUUUCUCAUUCUUUCGCAUGGAGUUACCUGCAACCCGCGGGCCGUCAGACUCUUUUUAUCUCCGACACGGUAUGGCUUAUUUAUCUUCGGUGAUACGGGAGACCGAAGUCUUUGCGGGAGUGGUAUAUUCUUUGCCGAUUAUUUUCUCUCCGCUUUUUACGGGUCAAUUUCAAUCAGUUAUUUCACCUUCUCCUUUUUUUUUUGUUUCCGGUAAAUUGGCGGAUUUAUUAAAAUGACGAACAACGUCUGACAGUUGCUCCGAAUUUUACAUCUUAUCUCACUUUUCCCAACAUAGAGUAUAAGUUUAUUACCGAG